Non-coding RNA from PVC group bacterium, 74 nucleotides. The record is from Rfam. Lineage: Bacteria; Pseudomonadati.
GGGAAAGAAGCUCAAACGGUUAGAGCGUUAGCUUGUCGAGCUAUUUGUUGUAGGUUCAAUUCCUUCCUUUCUCA